Molecule: ribosomal RNA, 474 nt
Filed under: Gari maculosa
Lineage: Eukaryota; Metazoa; Mollusca; Bivalvia; Cardiida; Psammobiidae
Description: partial 16S ribosomal RNA
Rfam family: Bacterial large subunit ribosomal RNA
Source: RNAcentral
GGCUUUUCGACAAAUGUGAGGAAAAGACUGGCCUGCCCGGUGAGACGGUUUAAACGGUCGCAGCUAUCACUGUGCUAAGGUAGCGUAAUAGGUCGUCCUUUAAUUGGGGAAAAGUAUGAAUGGUCGGAUGAUGGAGAGGCUUUAUUAGGGAUAAUUUCUGAAUUUUACUUUUAAGGUGCAAAGGCUUAGAUGAGUUUAUUAGACGAGAAGACCCUGUUGAGCUUGGUAUACUAAGGUCAUGUUUGGGCUUAGGGUAUGUUUUUUCGGGGCCGAAAGGAAGGGAUGUAAUACCUUCUUUAUAUAUAUAGAUCCAGUAUGGCUGAUAAUAAGAAGAUAGUUACCACAGGGAUAACAGCGCAAUUUUUUUGUCAAGGUCAUAUUUGAGAAGGAGAUUGCGACCUCGAUGUUGAAUCAAAAUUCCUAUCAGGUGUAGCAGCUUGGUAAGUAGGACUGUUCGUCCUUUGAAAUUUUACG